GCCUGUGUGGCUCAGUCAGUUGAGCGUCUGACUUCGGCUCAGGUCAUGAUUUCACAUUUUGUGGGUUCCAGCCUCGCAUCAGGCU
Molecule: transfer RNA, 85 nt
Filed under: Felis catus (domestic cat)
Lineage: Eukaryota; Metazoa; Chordata; Mammalia; Carnivora; Felidae
Rfam family: tRNA
About the family: Transfer RNA (tRNA) molecules are approximately 80 nucleotides in length. Their secondary structure includes four short double-helical elements and three loops (D, anti-codon, and T loops).
Source: Rfam by way of RNAcentral